Long non-coding RNA from Oreochromis niloticus (Nile tilapia), 169 nucleotides. RefSeq lists it as uncharacterized. The record is from RefSeq and is a predicted model, not a curated record. The transcript is spliced from 3 exons. Lineage: Eukaryota; Metazoa; Chordata; Actinopteri; Cichliformes; Cichlidae.
CCACUUGUUUCUUCUCUGGUUGGAGUUUCAGCACUUCCAGGAGGAUGGAGGUCUUUCUCUUUGAGAGGUUUAUGGACCAGACUGCAGGAGCUGACUGGAAAACUGACUGUAAUGAUGGAAGGACACUCAAGCCUGUUUUAGUCUCACAGUCCUUCACAUAGGAACACAG